This 403-nucleotide ribosomal RNA is filed under the name uncultured prokaryote. RNAcentral describes it as "bacterial SSU rRNA". It matches the Rfam family "Bacterial small subunit ribosomal RNA", at positions 355 to 774 of the family's 1533-position model. The record is from RNAcentral.
UGGGGAAUCUUGCACAAUGGACGAAAGUCUGAUGCAGCGAUUCCGCGUGGAGGAUGACGCAUUACGGUGUGUAAACUCCUUUUUUGGUGGAAGACGAAUGACGGUACACCAAGAAUAAGGGACGGCUAACUACGUGCCAGCAGCCGCGGUAAUACGUAGGUCCCAAGCGUUAUCCGGAUUUACUGGGCGUAAAGUGUCCGUAGCCUGAUAUAUAAGUCUGUUUUUAAAUAUCACGACUCAAUCGUGAAAAGGGAAUAGAUACUGUGUAUCUAGAGAAUAUUGGAGGUUAGUGGAAUUUCCGGUGGAGCGGUGAAAUGUGUUGAUAUCGGAAAGAACGCCGAAAGCGAAAGCAGCUAACUAUGAUACUUCUGACGGUGAUGGACGAAAGCUUGAGUAGCAAACG